CUGUGUUUACCACGGCAAGUUUGCAGCCCUGUUCCGGGCACGACUUGAACCUGUUUCACUCGAGGAAUAUGUCGGCACGGGUGUUUUUUGCUGUGUCAUAGGGACGCUCUGCUUCGCGUGCACUGCCCGUAGGUUCGUUUUCGUUUUCGAGGCGUCGUUGGCGACCACACCAGAUGCACCGGUAGAGGCGUUCGCUCCGCGUUCACCGUCGCUGACUUUUCCGCUCGAAAUACGCCCAGCAAGACGAGGAGGCACCGGUAUCGCUGGUCCUAAUCGUUCAAAGACGUUAGCGGCGGCCCGCUCGGCUGAGCUCGGCGUGUUCCGGGAGCGCUUGUCGUCGCCAACAGCUGCUGUCGCUGCCGGACGCUUUUCCGGAACCUUUGGUGGUGCGCGUACACUCGCUCGGUGUAGAUAUUCGCCUUGUUGAUUCAUCGGGGAGGAGUUUUUGCCUUUGAGCUGCGACGCGUCUGCAGGAGGCGGAUGCGCUGGCGGCACCGUCCUCCGUUCCGCGGACCCGAUGCUCCCGGUAGUGCUCCGCUGGGGCACAGAGGCUGGGGCGCGCGUAGACGCUGCAGCUUCUGCUCUCGUGCCCAGACGAGCAAAAACUGGAAUCGGUCUUGAGUCGCGCGUCUCGGUUCCUGGUGACGAGUCGCUAGCCCGCGGGUGCUUUCGGGUUGUUCCAUGCAGAGCAGGUGCCACGGGUGCCGGCGAGUGCCGAGCGCUUUUUCCCAGACCUGAUCGCUCUCGAGCACGCGACACGCUCAGCGGUUGCGGCUGAGAGAGGUUUGCGUUCAACUGGGCAGGUUUUUGCUCCGUGUCCGACGCUGCAUGAUGCCUGUGACCCAGCGUAUCCUCAUCUGGUCUCUGAUGCGGCAUUCGUGGCGGCAUUUUGGUACGAACGGGCGCGGUAGAGCCCGUUGCUGUGACACCAGAAGAGGUCGCCCUCGAAGUCGGAACGCCUCGCGAUACCGCAUUCCUGUCGGCGGCUGCAACAGUAGGUUGUCGACGUUCUCGCGCAGGCUCCGUUCUCUGCAUGGCAUGCUGACCUCUGUCCAAGGGGUGCUGUUUAUCCACGCUCGCUGCCUCGUUGCCGUGUUGGUUUGCAGCCUGAAAGCGUUGCACAUGCGUCUGUCGCUGCUGGUGCUGCUGCUGCUGCUGGUGCUGCUGCUGCUGCUGCGUUUGGAGCGGCGCAAGAGGCAGCCCCGGUCUCGUGGUAUUCCCAGUCAUCUUUCCACUGCGGGCAAAGGCAGCUUGUUUCCUCGGCAAUGAAUUUCCGUAGUUCGGGGCUGUUGCUUGAGCGCUUUCAGUAGCCUUCCGAUCCGGCGGUAGCAAGCGCUGAUUCUUGGUCGACACACGCGAGUACUCGAUUUCGCCAAAUGGUGCACCUGAGGGUUCCAUCGACGUCACCUGGAGCGCCGACGAUCGACGCCCUGGUCUUGGCCUUUCUGCGUCUAGAUGAUGAUUCGCGGUCUCUGUGGAUUUGAAGCUGGAGGGUAUCGGACGCGCAUUGGCGACGCUUCCACUUCGAGGCGCUGAUUUGUCGGGAUCUCUGUCGCCUCGUUCGGGUACGUUUUGUGCUUCAGAUGUUGGAGAACGCUUGGAUACAUCCUGCACAUGCGUGGGUGUCUUUCGUUCGUGCGCCUGCGGCCGGCGCUCCUGGUAGCUUUCUCCUUCUGCAGAAGCAGUCAUCCGCGGCCGCGGCUGUGCUGAUACAGCACGCUCAUUUGUCGUGCUCGGCGCUUCAGCGCUUUCCAUGGAUCUGGGCUCAGGCUGGAGCGCUGCCGCCGAAUCCCGCGUCACAUCGCGUUGAGUUCCCGUCUCCAUGUCAUGCCCAAGUUCUGGAUGCUGAUCCCUAUUCAUCAAAAUAAUACCCCAGAUUACUUCCUGGAACUCACGCGCGGUGGGCAGUUCGCCUGUCCCAAAGAAAUGUUCCUUCUGAUCCAUUCCUGGUAACGGGAAGUAGGGUAAAUCGGGGCGUAUAUCUGCUGGUAACAGCUGAGCGUUUUCCACCGAGUCUGUUGGCGUGGAGCCUCGCGGCGAUGACGCCGCGCUCUCCGAUGGCGCAUCGGAAGCAGCAACUUGGCGACGAGUUGUUUCCGAUUCCUUUUUAUCCAUGGGCACUGGUUGCUUCGUCUCGGAUCCUUGUAUCGUCGUAACGUCGGAAGCGAUGGUAUUGUCCUCGCGUGCCCCCGCUCGUGCUUCCGCAAGGCGCGCCAUUCGCACCGCCAGGGGUUCUUUGCUGAACUCACGAUCGUCUGUGGCUAGGGUCACGAAUUUACCACCUGGAAGCUGAAGCUCGGUCCCUCCAUCUACAGGUGCAUCAAUCGUUUUUAGCAUGCUCCGCGGAAUGCCAGUUGGUCGCUUCACACGAAUGAUAUUCACAUCGCCUUCCAGGUUUGCCGUGCAGUGUUGGAUAUAAUGGCCUGGCUCUCCGCAGCGGUGACAGAUAUAACCUGGCGGUGGCUGCGCACCCGGCGGUGGCCCAUCCAUCGCUCCCGAGGCCGUUACGCGGCCGCCUGGACGCUGGAUGUUUCGUGGAUUCGGGCCCGAGUCUCCUGCGCCAGCUGCGAGGGCCACGGAGGCAAGGCGCGUGUCUUCGUCACCUCGACGGAGCCGGACAGGUUCACUGCCCGUCAUGCCUGUGUUCGCGGUUGUGCUGGGUCCCAGGUUGCCAGCAAGCACCUGCCGUGCAGCUGCAGCAAUAGCGCCCGCUGUGGCACCCGUGCCGCCGGUUGAGCGGUCGAGAAUCUCAGCGAAGCGCUCAUUUUUCCUUGCGAGUGCGAUCUGACUCAAUAUGCCCUGCUUCUGGCCAGCAGGCACUCGUUUCACGAUAACCGAAGUGUUCUUCGGUAUCAAGGUUUCUUCGUCGUAGUACUCUUCCUGGGUUUGUGCGUCAACUACUUGUAAGUCAAAGUCCUCGCCAAACUGCAGUUUUUCUUGCUCCACAAUGGCUACUUUUAGCUCUGCGAGCUGAAUAAAGUCCCCC
RNAcentral lists this unclassified non-coding RNA (2986 nucleotides) under Cyanidioschyzon merolae strain 10D. Its description in RNAcentral is "hypothetical transcript". Lineage: Eukaryota; Rhodophyta; Bangiophyceae; Cyanidiales; Cyanidiaceae. The record is from RNAcentral.